Pipra filicauda (Wire-tailed manakin) is the source of this 808-nucleotide long non-coding RNA. RefSeq lists it as uncharacterized. The transcript has 4 exons. The record is from RefSeq and is a predicted model, not a curated record. Lineage: Eukaryota; Metazoa; Chordata; Aves; Passeriformes; Pipridae.
CCCCUCGGAGCGCCCAGAGGCUCUGGCGAUGGGCCGGGGCGCAGCGCGGGGGAGAGGCCCGGGCUCCAUUCGCCAGCUGGAUGCUAUUGAUCCCUUCCCUCGCCUCCGCUUUCUUCCUGAGCUCCCUCUCCCUAUUUAAUUCCCUUCCCUCUGCUCCUCUGCAGCCGCCCGGGCAGCGCUCCGAGCGGAGCCGGGCGGUGCGGGCACCCGGGGGCGCGGAGCGGAACAGCGUGAAGGCACAAACGACCCGGCCAGGACCAGCCCCAGCGGAGGGGCCGAACCGCGGGCCGUGCCUUCGCCGAGCUGGCACCGGGCACCGGCCAAACCUUCGGGGUUUACCGGGCAAGGAGGGAGAAGGAGCCGGAACGCGGCUCCGCGCACCCCGCCGGGAGCCAAAAGUUCCUUAAAGUUCUUUAAGGCUUCAAAAUAACAGCAGCAUCGCCUGGCAGAUCCGGCCCAGGAGGUUUUUAGGGACAGGACCAGACCGGGGGGCCCGCCCGGAGCUGCCCCCCCCUCCGCCCGCCUCCGCCGCCCUCCUUCCCCCGCUCCCGGUAUUUUCCUGUCGCCGCAGGCUCCUUCACCUGGCUCGGGAGAAGCCGCCUCUGCUUUUUCGCUAAGAUCCCGGCUUUGGACACUUUUCUCCCCCAUCCCGAGGGCAGAGGGAAGGCAGGGCCUUGCGCGAUCUGCGGAGCGGCCCGGGGAGGGGGUGCGGGCCCGGACCCCCCCGGUCCCGGCGGCUGAACCCCCGCAACAGGUACCGCCGAGCCCCGGGGCUGCGGGGACACGGCGCGUCCUGCGGGAACAGCCG